This 22-nucleotide non-coding RNA is filed under the name Rattus norvegicus (Norway rat). The record is from RNAcentral. Lineage: Eukaryota; Metazoa; Chordata; Mammalia; Rodentia; Muridae.
UAGAAAUGGAGGUGCAGCCAGA